GCGAGCGCAGGCGGUUUUUUAAGUCUGAUGUGAAAGCCUUCGGCUCAACCGAAGAAGUGCAUCGGAAACUGGGAAACUUGAGUGCAGAAGAGGACAGUGGAACUACAUGUGUAGCGGUGAAAUGCGUAGAUAUAUGGAAGAACACCAGUGGCGAAGGCGGCUGUCUGGUCUGUAACUGACGCUGAGGCUCGAAAGUAUGGGUAGCAAACAGGAUUAGAUACCCUGGUAGUCCAUACCGUAAACGAUGAAUGCUAAGUGUUGGAGGGUUUCCGCCCUUCAGUGCUGCAGCUAACGCAUUAAGCAUUCCGCCUGGGGAGUACGGCCGCAAGGCUGAAACUCAAAGGAAUUGACGGGGGCCCGCACAAGCGGUGGAGCAUGUGGUUUAAUUCGAAGCUACGCGAAGAACCUUACCAGGUCUUGACAUACUAUGCAAAUCUAAGAGAUUAGACGUUCCCUUCGGGGACAUGGAUACAGGUGGUGCAUGGUUGUCGUCAGCUCGUGUCGUGAGAUGUUGGGUUAAGUCCCGCAACGAGCGCAACCCUUAUUAUCAGUUGCCAGCAUUAAGUUGGGCACUCUGGUGAGACUGCCGGUGACAAACCGGAGGAAGGUGGGGAUGACGUCAAAUCAUCAUGCCCCUUAUGACCUGGGCUACACACGUGCUACAAUGGAUGGUACAACGAGUUGCGAACUCGCGAGAGUAAGCUAAUCUCUUAAAGCCAUUCUCAGUUCGGAUUGUAGGCUGCAACUCGCCUACAUGAAGUCGGAAUCGCUAGUAAUCGCGGAUCAGCAUGCCGCGGUGAAUACGUUCCCGGGCCUUGUACACACCGCCCGUCACACCAUGAGAGUUUGUAACACCCAAAGUCGGUGGGGUAACCUUUAGGAACCAGCCGCCUAAAGGGAAAAAAAUUAA
Molecule: ribosomal RNA, 910 nt
Filed under: Lactiplantibacillus plantarum
Lineage: Bacteria; Bacillati; Bacillota; Bacilli; Lactobacillales; Lactobacillaceae
Description: bacterial SSU rRNA
Rfam family: Bacterial small subunit ribosomal RNA
Source: RNAcentral